This 392-nucleotide long non-coding RNA is filed under the name Arabidopsis lyrata. RNAcentral describes it as "long non-coding RNA (ALYR_LNC001164)". The record is from RNAcentral. Lineage: Eukaryota; Viridiplantae; Streptophyta; Magnoliopsida; Brassicales; Brassicaceae.
UAUGUAUCUACUUUCCGUCUGUUUAUAUGUUCAAAAAUCAAAACCUAUUUGUUUUUGUUUUUUUUUUUAGGUUAAAAAACCAAUCUCUACAAUCAAUUAAGUUACUGAGAUACCCCAAGGGAAACAAAAUAAGUAGACGAGCUAUAGUUAAAACGAUAUUUACAUAGUAACCUCGUAUUAAGAUAUGUACCAAAGUUGAUAAUUAGGGUUACAUAUGCACUUUAUUUUCUUGUUUCUUCUCUUGACCAUAUGGAUAAACAAAGCGGAACAGCUUCUGACGAGACUAGAUAAAAUAGUAAAGGACUCGACCUGCAUUUUUUUGGAAAAGGUCAUUACGUUAAGUAAGUUUUGCGGUGACACGACUUUUGAUAUUCAAGAGUAGAAAAAAGAAU